GAGGAAAGUCCGGGCUCCAUAGAGCAGGGUGCCAGGUAACGCCUGGGGGGCGCAAGCCCACGACAAGUGCAGCAGAGAGAAGACCGCCGAUGACCCGUAAGGGCACAGGUAAGGGUGAAAGGGUGUGGUAAGAGCGCACCGUGCGGCUGGCAACAGUCCGUAGCAGGGUAAACUCCACCCGGAGCAAGACCAAAUAGGCUUCCACA
This 206-nucleotide unclassified non-coding RNA is filed under the name Vibrio nigripulchritudo MADA3021. RNAcentral describes it as "RNaseP_bact_a". It matches the Rfam family "Bacterial RNase P class A", at positions 43 to 244 of the family's 367-position model. From Rfam's summary of the family: Ribonuclease P (RNase P) is a ubiquitous endoribonuclease, found in archaea, bacteria and eukarya as well as chloroplasts and mitochondria. Its best characterised activity is the generation of mature 5'-ends of tRNAs by cleaving the 5'-leader elements of precursor-tRNAs. Lineage: Bacteria; Pseudomonadati; Pseudomonadota; Gammaproteobacteria; Vibrionales; Vibrionaceae. RNAcentral also lists the same sequence under 1 other name. The record is from RNAcentral.